RNAcentral lists this ribosomal RNA (468 nucleotides) under uncultured bacterium. RNAcentral describes it as "partial 16S ribosomal RNA". It matches the Rfam family "Bacterial small subunit ribosomal RNA", at positions 28 to 507 of the family's 1533-position model. The record is from RNAcentral.
GACGAACGCUGGCGGCGUGCUUAACACAUGCAAGUCGAACGGAAAGGCCCUGCUUUUGUGGGGUGCUCGAGUGGCGAACGGGUGAGUAACACGUGAGUAACCUGCCCUUGACUUUGGGAUAACUUCAGGAAACUGGGGCUAAUACCGGGUAGGAGCUCCUGCUGCAUGGUGGGGGUUGGAAAGUUUCGGCGGUUGGGGAUGGACUCGCGGCUUAUCAGCUUGUUGGUGGGGUAGUGGCUUACCAAGGCUUUGACGGGUAGCCGGCCUGAGAGGGUGACCGGCCACAUUGGGACUGAGAUACGGCCCAGUCUCCUACGGGAGGCAGCAGUGGGGAAUAUUGCACAAUGGGCGGAAGCCUGAUGCAGCAACGCCGCGUGCGGGAUGACGGCCUUCGGGUUGUAAACCGCUUUCGCCUGUGACGAAGCGUGAGUGACGGUAAUGGGUAAAGAAGCACCGGCUAACUACGUG